GCCCCAGUUACGGCGAGUGAGCGGCAAGCUCAAAUUUGAAUCCUGCGGGAAUUGUAAUUUGAAGGUUUCGUGGUCUGAGUCGGCCGCGCCCAAGUCCAUUGGAACAUGGCGCCUGGGAGGGUGAGAGCCCCGUCCGGCGCACGCCGACUCUUUGCACCGCGGCUCCGACGAGUCGAGUUGUUUGGGAAUGCAGCUCUAAGUGGGUGGUAAAUUCCAUCUAAAGCUAAAUAUUGGCGAGAGACCGAUAGCGAACAAGUACAGUGAUGGAAAGAUGAAAAGCACUUUGAAAAGAGAGUGAACCACACGUGAGAAGUUGUUAAAAAGGGAAGGG
Molecule: ribosomal RNA, 331 nt
Filed under: Clavispora lusitaniae
Lineage: Eukaryota; Fungi; Ascomycota; Pichiomycetes; Serinales; Metschnikowiaceae
Description: eukaryotic LSU rRNA
Rfam family: Eukaryotic large subunit ribosomal RNA
Source: RNAcentral